RNAcentral lists this unclassified non-coding RNA (203 nucleotides) under soil metagenome. RNAcentral describes it as "partial contains 5.8S ribosomal RNA, internal transcribed spacer 2, and large subunit ribosomal RNA". The record is from RNAcentral.
AACCUAGCACACCUGCGGUGUGUACCUGCGGAAGGAUCAUUACCUAGAGUUGUAGGCUUUGCCUGCUAUCUCUUACCCAUGUCUUUUGAGUACCUUACGUUUCCUCGGUGGGUUCGCCCGCCGGUUGGACAAAACUUAAACCCUUUGUAGUUGCAAUCAGCGUCUGAAAAAACUUAAUAGUUACAACUUUUAACAAUGGAUCU